AUUGAACGCUGGCGGAAUGCUUUACACAUGCAAGUCGAGCGGCAGCGCGGGGGCAACCCUGGCGGCGAGCGGCGAACGGGUGAGUAACAUAUCGGAACGUACCCCGUCGUGGGGAUAACACAGCGAAAGCUGUGCUAAUACCGCAUACGACCUGAGGGUGAAAGCGGGGGAUCGCAAGACCUCGCGCGAUGGGAGCGGCCGAUAUCGGAUUAGCUUGUUGGUGAGGUAAAGGCUCACCAAGGCGACGAUCCGUAGCUGGUCUGAGAGGACGACCAGCCACACUGGAACUGAGACACGGUCCAGACUCCUACGGGAGGCAGCAGUGGGGAAUUUUGGACAAUGGGGGCAACCCUGAUCCAGCCAUUCCGCGUGAGUGAAGAAGGCCU
Molecule: ribosomal RNA, 386 nt
Filed under: uncultured bacterium
Lineage: Bacteria
Description: bacterial SSU rRNA
Rfam family: Bacterial small subunit ribosomal RNA
Source: RNAcentral